CAUCCCUGCUUGGGAUUUUCUCUCUGUCCCUCCCUGCUCUUUCUCAAAAUAAAUAAUAUUUUUAAAAAAUGUUACAUGAAACCAAACAUUAAUGGCUGCUAAAAUGAAAGACUAAAAAAACAUCUGGCUUGCAAGACAGAAAUAGGGGGCCUGACUAGAGUAUCAGGGUGAUGCUGGCCUCGGAAUGAAUUAGGAAGUGUUCCCUCCUGUUUGAGUUUUUAGGAAAAUGUUUGAGAAGGGUGGGAUUAGCUAUUCUUUACUAUGAUAGGCAGCAGAAAACAGGAUUUUUCAAUGUAUCCAAUUCAGUGUAAUAACAACUGCAUCAGUGCUUCUGUCGUAAAGCUUUACCGACACGGUAAAAACAAAACAAAACAAAACAAAACAAAAAACAAAAACUGAAAGUUUUCUAAAACCGAGACUGUGUUGGCUAAAAUGUCCGUGUUUUCACUUAUAAUUUCAGUGUUAACUAUGAUUUUGGGGCGAGGUCCUUUUAUCUUAAAGGCAUUACAUAGCCUUAAGAAGGUAAUGGAGUGAGGCGGUUCUUAUCAAAGCUGCUGAGACUACAAAAGGAGAGAGAACCGGACAUGUGUGCCCUGGAUGGACUGGCCACCACCACCGGUGAUGAAGUGCUCUAACAAAACAGGCAAAGAAACAAAACACUAAUACAGGCUGAUCAAGGCUGAGAAUACAGGAGAAAAGGGGAAUACAGUAAAGGACACCAUGUGAAUGUUGUUUAGCAAAACCCAGCCUGGGGACACCCUCCAGGGCCAAUAAUCUGGUUCUUCCAGGUAAGUUAUAAGGAAAAAGAUACAAGGAGACUCACAGAUACAAACACUUGUCAUGAGACUCGGUGACCAGUUACAACGUAUGGAGUCAGCCUGGAUCCAGAUACUGACUAUACUGUUAAAUUUUUAAUAAGACAAUCAGAAAUUUGAUGAAUGAGGAAUGAUGACUAAUGAUGUUGAGGAAUUGCUGUCAAUUUUUAAAGAUGUGAUAAUUUAAAAAUGCGAUGAAGCAAAAUGUGGUUGUGUAAAAAUAGAAGAUGUUCUAUUCAAAAAUAAAAUGUAUUUAAGGCAUUUACACGUGAAAUGAUGUGAAGUCUGGCAUUAGAAUCGAACUGACCUGGAGUGGCUGGGGACAAGGUGAAAAAAGACUGGUAAGUGACCUGGUAAUUGUGAAAGCUGGGGGUGAGAGGACCAGGUCGUUAGAUACCGGACUCUUUCCACUUUUGUGUAUGUUUGAAUUUUUCCCUCAGAAAAAGUUGAAAAUCAACCCAAAACAGGAGAAGGCAUUAUAGACAGGUCACACCAGGACCUUGGUAUUCCUGGAUCCUGAGUUUUGUGACAUGCACUUGCAAGGUUCUCCCCCCCAGCCCCCCAGUAAAAGGAAUAGUUCUGGGUUUCAAAAUGCCUUAAAAUCAUUUCCAAACACUGUGAAUAUUGCUUUAAAAGGUAUUAGGACCUUUAAUAAAAUAGCAUUUGAUAGCUUUGUCCUUCCAAGCAAUUUCUCUUCCAUCAUGACAGGAGGGAAGGCUCCGUUGUCAAUAGUCGUGUGUCAUUUUUCUGAAGAUAAUUUUUGCAGUUAGGUAUUUGGAGUAACUUGGAAUGAUAAAGGUGCAAACGAUGUAUUUAUUGUACAGUGUGCUUCUCUAAGACAAGCUGGACAGUUCUGAAUGAGAUUGCAAAACCUUGCAUUUCCUGGACUAGAACAUGCCAUUUUAACUUAUGAGGAGGUAGGGAUGUUCCAAAACACCCCAAGGCUCACACUCAAACACAGGGUGCCCAUCCCAUGUAAUCCAGAGACUGCGCCCAGGCACCAGUCACAGCUGAACAGAGGCCACCAGGGGUGCUGUUGGCUGGGGCAUAGCUGGGAGCCACACCCCCCAUGAGAAGCAAGGAGAUGCCUCAGUGUGCACUACAGAAGGGACCACGCAAUAACUGGAAAAUAAAAAUCAAAGCCCGGGAUUCUCCCACCCCAUGCCUGUGGACCACCCACAGUGCCCUGGGGGCGUUUCCAGGAGGAAGCUGGCGGCCCCCAGAAGUCCAGCCCACUCUCUGGCCCUGGCCCCCCCGGCUCCUUCCUGCUGCGGUCUAGCAACCACGCAGCCUCACAGAGGUCCGGACACAACCUGCCCCCUGCUUUCUCGCCCUCCCCCUACAUUCUGUCCAUGGCCAUGUCUGGAUUCCAGGGUCUGGACAGCAUAGCCCCACCCCUGCAAACACCUGGAACUCCCUGUUCCUCCCCCAGUCCCACCACCUGGUAACUCUCCAACACGUAAUUACUUCUUGCCUGAGCCGAGCAGUGGCAUGCUGCUGGAGAAUCAACUGUACCUCGUGGCUUCGUUUGAGAUCAGGACCCUGAAUUGUAAACAGGCUUCGGCAUUAUCCCCGUAUUGUGACUACUUCUGUCAUGCAGGCACCUUCUCCCUCCUCAGUACACUCGUGUCACAGAUUCUUUCUUUUCUUUCUUGAGACUUGCUCACUCUGCCCCCAUCAGUUAAUGAUCUCACUUCCCUGGCCAACAGAGUGGAUGUCCUCAGUCGGGCACUCCCCGGGUGUCCCUUCUCCUGGCCCCGCCACUGCCUCUGCCAGGUGUGCUCUUCUCACCUUCCCGGCCACUGUCCUUUCCUCUAUCCCGUCCCUUCUUUGUGAUAUCCUGAGAAUAUUUGUCUAGCCUGAGAAAAAACUGACAACAGACACCCCUUUCUCGAUUCUCUGCCAUCCUGGAAUCAUGGCUCGUUCUCUUAAGCGUGCUAAGUACGUGCUCUCCUUCGCUCCUGUGUCUGGGAAUCUCUCCCCUUAAUGAUGGGCUCCUUGCCAUUCAGGUCUCAGCUUUGACAGCUCCUCGGGGGGUGCAGAUAUGGUCACGUGCUGCCCAGAUCCCCCUCAGGACCCAGGGAUUGGUUCUGAGCUGCAGGGGUGCUGCCCUUGGUCGUCCAGGCUCUUCAAGAAAUCGCCCUGGCUAAAGCCCUCGAGCUCUAGAUGCCCUCACAGUCCUGCUUCUCCCCUGCCCAUGCCGCACCCUCCUCUCCCACAGGGGUGCACCCUGGGGCUCCCUCAUAAGCCUCUGCACACAAACCUGGGACAUCCAUCUGAGCUGUCACCCCUUGCCUCUGUCACCUCACCUUGCUGUGACUCUCUGCAUGGCUUCCAUCACCACCCACUUCCCCUUGCUAGAAUGUGGGUUCCAGCAGAUCGGGGAAUUGGUGUUGUUCAUCUCUGUACCUGGAGUGCCCACACCAGGGACCGGGGCUGGGCAGACACAGCUGCUGAAGGAAUGAGGGGGCUCGGGGUGGCCCGGCACUGCCAGUCGUGUAGGGUUGUAUAUGGUUCUAGAGAACGUACGUGACAUGGUGUUUCCCCAGCACCUGGUGCACACUAAGCACUUUCUGAAGGCACCAAGAUAAAGUUACCGCUCUUAAACUAAGCCUUCCUUCAGGGAAUAAUAGGAAAAUCGAAGAAAAUGCAGAACAAGGUGAAGUGACUGGUGAACUGCAGCCAGGACCAAAGGCGGGGAGAAAGUAAAACCUGAUACCAUCUGACGAACUGCACAGACAAAAUACAAACAGAAGAGGGACUGAGCUGCUGAGAGGAAGCAACUUCGUGUAAGAUGCCGGGAACCAACCCCUCCUAUAGGUGAGGUGAGAGAAAACAAACCUAAUUGUGGGGGCAGCGGCAGACAAGCGGGCAAUAAACUUAUGACGGGAGGACUUGGGGCAGCUCUGGGGCAGACCAGUCCCUUUUCACCACAUCACACGGUGAGUAUUUUAUAUACAACGUUUAAUUUGGAUUCUUUCCACGUUUAUUUAAUAGGUGAAUAAUCUACACAGAAAACUGUUUAACCACCUUACAGUAAAGCCAUGUACCUACUCAUUGUUGAAAUGAGGACACUGGCCUUUAAACUAUUUGUGGGCUAAAUCCUAAUCUAUUAUUACUGUGGGUAAUAAUCCCCUGUUCCUACUUUCCUACAUGACUGGGGGUUUCCCUGUGGGGCUGCUCUACAUCCAGACAUGGACCUACCACGGAUCUACCAAUCUAUCUGAUGUGCAAAUCAUCCUAGAGAAAGUCAAAGUCACAUAAAAGAAAACGAAUAUUUGAACUACUUUCUGAGGUGACUUCAUAUGAUGAACUCAAGAAUCAAACUCGUCUGCAGAUGCACAGACACAGAAAAUGGCCCACGACAGAGUAACUCUGAUGAACUAAACUAGAACCAUAACUAAACUAUGAACUUAACUUUGGUAAAAAUGCUGCCAUGGCCACAGGGACUCUGCCCCUCCAAGGAGAUCCAGCAGCUCCGUGAAGCAGCGGGCCGUCCUGACUCCUGAGUGGGCAGCGUCUACCCCAAGACUUACGCUUUGGUGGUGUCGUGCUCCCCGUAAAGCCAGCCAUCUUUCUCCUCAGGGACGAGCAGUGUGAGGACAUCUCCCUGAGCGAAGCUGAGCAAGCUCUGGUUCGCGCCCGCGGUGUGUGGGAAGAUGGUUUUCACUUUCUGCUUCUUCAUCAUGUUCAGUCCGGUUGCGACAGAAACCGAUCGCUGUAAACUGGGAUCAUCUGAAGAAUCUGUUAAAACUGAGCACAGCAGUGAUUGCUUUUCAAGGACUGAUAACAUGGUAAGUUCACACCAGGAGACCCCAGAAAGCCAUCCAUUCCUGUCCACCAGCAUUCCUUCCGCUGCAGCUCCACACGCUGUAUUUCUGAGCCUUGGUCUUUGCCUGGACCGCGGGGACAGUGAGGAGCGGAGGCAGAACCACGGACUGAGGGCCCUCACCGAGGAAGACCCUUGAGGCUGUUUUUCCCCCAGGCGGAGAGGACACACAGCGGCCAAGCCUCACCCGUGCAGCCAGCUGAUGCAUCACUAGAGGGUCUGAUGCUUUCCUCGCACUCCUCUCCCGAUGUGAAUCCCAAGGCAGGGAAGGGCAUCAACUCAAACGCCACUGCCCACGAGCUGGGCCGCAAAGAACAAGAAGAGACUGGAAAUGCAGCUGUGCUCGCCAAGCUCAUUUACUGAGCCCUCCCCGAUCAGCGCUGUCCACGCUUUCAAUGGUUCAAGGCUUCUGAGGGAAGGAGACGUUAUCAUCCGCUGUGACUUGUCGGGAUCACAUGUGGCCUGACCCCACAGUCUCGACUGUACUAUGUGAAGCAUGGAGCUGUACAUUUCUGUCUCCAUUUGAGCAUGCGCUGAUACCGCUUCAAAGAAACAAAACUACCGUUCUGAAACUCUCCUCUCCCAUCUCACCCAGGGCUGCAAACACUGUAGUCUGGGGCUCUCUCUAGCACAUGGCUUGAACGCCAUGACUUUCAUGCAAGGGAGCCUGUGAGACACCUAUCAUAGAGAGAGGGGUCUCUGGUGUCAAAAACUCUGUGCCCAGAGCGGAGCCUAACUGAAGCCGCCUGAAAUGUCUGCAAACAGUAACUGGUCCUGAUUUAUUGAAACAGCAUCAACAGAAAUUUAAGCAGUGAGAACUUAAGUGUCCAGAAAGCAUGAAGUUCUCUGUUAGAAAGGAUGAAAAACACUGAUUAUAAUUCAAACUAAGCCUAUUGGUAAGAUUAAUAGCCAUAAUUUUGUCAUGGGAACUUUUAUAGUUUGUUUUAUUGAAAAAAGAAGUUUUAUUACAAUUGCCACCUAAUAUGGCACUCAGUGUGGAGGCUCUUUGUACGUUGUAUUUUAAAAAGUAACACCUUUCAAUAGCACAGUUACUCUAUAUAAACAUGAAUCAGUACAUGGAAUUAAUAGGUGUUAAAGAAAUGUGUCACUUAUAAAAUGUCUUAUGGUUUUAUAAUAAACCAUACCUUUAUUUAUUUUGAAGUGUAAGUUCCAAUAAGGCAAUGCUGAAUGUGCACUACUAUACAUGUUGAUUUACCACAUGGUAACAUUUAGCCAAAAUAUUUAUUAAACAAGUUUAGAAAAGUAUUUUAAAAGAAAUCAAAAUACAUAUCUUACCUGUUGAA
This is a long non-coding RNA of Suricata suricatta (meerkat), 5948 nucleotides long. RefSeq lists it as uncharacterized. The transcript has 2 exons. NCBI's taxonomy places the organism in Eukaryota, Metazoa, Chordata, Mammalia, Carnivora, Herpestidae. The record is from RefSeq and is a predicted model, not a curated record.